RNAcentral lists this ribosomal RNA (480 nucleotides) under uncultured bacterium. RNAcentral describes it as "partial 16S ribosomal RNA". It matches the Rfam family "Bacterial small subunit ribosomal RNA", at positions 28 to 506 of the family's 1533-position model. The record is from RNAcentral.
GAUGAACGCUGGCGGCGUGCUUAACACAUGCAAGUCGAACGAAGCACUUUAUUUGAUUUCCUUCGGGACUGAUUAUUUUGUGACUGAGUGGCGGACGGGUGAGUAACGCGUGGGUAACCUGCCUUGUACAGGGGGAUAACAGUUGGAAACGGCUGCUAAUACCGCAUAAGCGCACGGCAUCGCAUGAUGCAGUGUGAAAAACUCCGGUGGUAUAAGAUGGACCCGCGUUGGAUUAGCUAGUUGGUGAGGUAACGGCCCACCAAGGCGACGAUCCAUAGCCACCCGGGAGGGGUGACCGGCACAAUGGGGAUGGAGACAGGGCCCAAACCCCUCCGGGGGGGCGAAGGGGGGAAUAUUGAACAGUGGGCGAAAGCCUGAGGCAGGGACGCCGGGGGGGCGAAAAAGUAUUUCGGUAUGUAAAGCUCUAUCGGCAGGGAAGAUAAGGAGGGUACCGGACUAAGAAGCCCGGGAUAAAUCGGG